This 429-nucleotide unclassified non-coding RNA is filed under the name soil metagenome. Its description in RNAcentral is "partial contains 5.8S ribosomal RNA, internal transcribed spacer 2, and large subunit ribosomal RNA". The stretch from base 1 to 120 matches the Rfam family "5.8S ribosomal RNA", at positions 35 to 154 of the family's 154-position model. The record is from RNAcentral.
GAUGAAGAACGCAGUGAAAUGCGAUACGUAAUGUGAAUUGCAGAAUUCAGUGAAUCAUCGAAUCUUUAAACGCAUAUUGCGCUCUUUGGUAUUCCGAAGAGCAUGCUUGUUUGAGUAUCAGUAAACACCUCAAAGACUUCAAUUUGUUUUGAAUGGCUUUGGACUUGAGCAAUCCCAACACCAGUCUUUACGAUCGGUGGAGGGUUGCUUGAAAUGCAGGUGCAGCUGGACAUUCUCCUGAGCUAAAAGCAUAUUUAUUUAGUCCCGUCAAACGGAUUAUUACUUUUGCUGCAGCUAACAUAAAGGGAGUUUGACCGUAUUGGCUGACUGAUGCAGGAUUUCACAAGGGUCGGCAACGAUUCUUGUAAAACUCGAUCUCAAAUCAAGUAAGACUACCCGCUGAACUUAAGCAUAUCAAUAAGCGGAGGA